Molecule: unclassified non-coding RNA, 421 nt
Filed under: Myxacorys chilensis ATA3-4Q-CV6
Lineage: Bacteria; Bacillati; Cyanobacteriota; Cyanophyceae; Leptolyngbyales; Leptolyngbyaceae
Description: 16S-23S ribosomal RNA intergenic spacer
Source: RNAcentral
UUUAGGGAGACCUUACCCCCAUUUCCUCAAACUUUAGGGUAAAUGCCUAGAGCAAGCAGAGGAGUGGUUGGUCAUCUCAAGGUCGGUGAGGGUUGGAUGUAAGGCUUUCAAACUUGUCUGGUUCGAUAUUAAAGCUUCAGACGGUAACAAUAUAAGCGUGUACCCACAAAAUAACUUGUGUGGAAGCCUUUAUUGAUUAUUUCUCUCAAUGCUAAAUGGUAUAUAUUCAGCAACAGAUUUAGUUGUUAGUGAGACUAAGCUGACUGCUGGAUUGUAUUCCAGUAAGAACCAUGAAAACUGCAUAGAGAUAAGCAAUUAAGUCAGGUAGAAGAUUAGUUGUGUUCAUCGAUUGAUUGUCGAUUGAUUGAUCAAUGGAUGAAGCAAUUAAGGCUUCAUAGACACCAAUGAUUUUGAAGUUAGU